AAUUACUUUGGUUUCGAAGGAACUCAUGCACAAUAACCUGCUAACUCCCAAAGUGAAAAUACGGACUUGCUCCUUGUUCAUUUCCAGGUCCACUGGACUGGAGCCAUAAAUGAAGAGUUUUGGCUCAUUAGGAAGGACAGAUUAUCGGGCAUGGUGUGGAGCCACCCAUGCUUUAUGAGGCUGGGAAUGAGUUACACAAAGUCCCGCAGAGUGAGAAAGGAAGAUGUUUGGAAAUAUUUUUCUGCUUAAAGCUCUGAGAUUGCAAGGGUUUUCUUAGCCCUGUGGAAUUUCUCUAAGUGCCUGGGGAUUUCUAGGUUUCUAAGAAGCUUGAGGUGGUUGUUAACCUAAUACACAGUUGAAGGGAGCCAAGACAGCCUUCCUAUGCCAGCUGUGUGGUAGGACGUCUUCUUAAAAGGCUCUUUAAAAUCAGUGAGAGAGAUUCCAUGGUUCACCACCCAGAACAAGGUGCUUUCUUCCAUCUCAUAUGCCAAAAAAGCACUGAAAAUCCAGAGCACCAUUACUGAUUGGAAGACCAAAGGCUUGAUCUAGAAAUCACACACCAGGAGUUGUCUCACAUGGUUAUGGAGGCUGAGAAGUCCCACGAUCUGUAUCUGUAAGCUGGAGAACCAAGAAAGGCAGUGGUGUAAUUCAGUAUAAGUCCACAGGCCUGAAUUGGGUGGUGAGGUGGGCAAUGUUGUAAAUUCCAGUCUGAGUCUGAAAGCCCAAGAACCAGAAGUGCUGACAUCCAAGGGCAGGAGAAGAUGGGUGCCUCAGCUCCAGCAGAGACAGCAAGUUUGCCCUUCCUCCGCCUUUUUGUUCUUUUCAGGCCUUCAGUGGAUUGGGUGACACCUUCCCGAUUGACAGAAGGGGCCACCUGGAAAGGAAUGCGGGCAGCCUCUAGAAGCUGCAAAAGGCAAGACAACAGAUUCUUCUUUAGAGCCUCAAGAAAGGAACACAGCCCUGCUGAUAAUUUGAUGCAUCUGCCCAUCCCAUGAUGACUUCUCCCCUGCAAAGCCAACUGCCUUCUCUCCUUACCAGCCUCCCCACCAAUGAAGUGGGCCGGGGUAGGGGACCAUUGUGUUGCUGUGACCCGUGCCUCCACCUAUGCCUAACCUCUGCCACAGCUGAAUGAACAGGACUAGCACUAGAUUCAAGAGCAGCAUGAUCUCAGGAAAUGAUAGGAUGGAUUACAAACCCCCAUCGGCACUAAGGAUUCCUAGCCAAUCAUCCGGGACUAUUGCUUCAGCAAAGAGAGAGUCUUUGAGCAAAGGCCUGCCUUCACCAUUCUCCCGAGCAGCAGCACAUCUCUUCAGAAAUCUCAAUCUAAUGGGGGAAAGAAGGCUUCUCCCACGCCUGACGUCUUCAAAGAUGGCAACUAGGAAUCCAGAUUAUAUGCAGAACUUCUCUUCCUCCAGGAUGGGUACAGUGGAGCAAAGUUAUAGAUGGACCAGAAAGGCAGCUCAGGAUGGAGAAUAAAGUUUCAGGAAAUUCAGCAAAGUGAGCCCACUGGGAAUUUUUUAAAAUUCUAGGCCAAUGAUUGGAUAGGAAUACAGUCAGUGUUCCCAGUGUGAAGACUUUCCCUUCUGGCUAUUGAUCUUGCAGCAAUCAGACAGCUGUUUGCAGGGGAAUGAUCACUCUUUUCCUUUACAUAAUAUUCAUAAAUGUGCAGGCAAAUUAAAUGUGUCAUAGAUGAGAUUACCAACCAGAGUACCACCCGGCUGUCUCAUGUGAGCUUGGUUUAUGGAUCCAGUGUUCUCCAGCGAGCAUCACAAAUCCACAUAAUGUUCCCAAGUGCUAAAUUUGGAGCUCUGAUUUAGCUGACAGAUGUUUAAAAUCACAUUUAGUUGGACAACUCCCUGAGGAGGACACAGCUGCAGAUGUGAAAGAGAGCAAGUUAUUCCAGUUAAGGUCGGCGGGAACUCAGCCUGAAAACCUUCCGUCUCGAUCCGCCUUCUUCAGACAGGAUGAUAUGGGUGAAGGAACAUUUUCAUGCUGAUUCCACCCACCUUUGGCCAAACCUCAUCCCUUUGUUGAAUGGUUGCCAAGAUAAAUGCAGAAGUUGCAUCUUAGGCAAAGUGUGGGCUGCUCCAGUCAGCUGAAAUUGAGUAAAAGGGUGCUGCUAGCCCUUUAAAAACAGGCACAAAGCCACAUUUUGGAGCCUGCUUUGCCCCUGUGGUGGCAUCUGAGGCCUGCAAAUGAGUAUGAUUCUGGAAUUUUGCACUUCAGGAUCAGUUAUUCAGAUGGAUAGUUGAAGUCCAUGUGCUGAAUGAGGACAGAGAGGAAAAUGGUGCCAUUUACCCUCCCCCCACCCCAACAUCCCAAACAGCUCUCCUUCAUUUUUUAAAAACAACAAAAUUAAAAUUAUCCUGGAAUCUUCUUUGCAAAAAUCACAUAUUUUAGACUUGUUUCAAGACUCAGACUGAAACGAAUUUGUUUAAAAAAAAUUGUCUGUAUUUGAUGUGGGAGACUAGUGACCUUUGGUAUUUUGUG
Molecule: long non-coding RNA, 2490 nt
Organism: Equus caballus (horse)
Lineage: Eukaryota; Metazoa; Chordata; Mammalia; Perissodactyla; Equidae
Source: Ensembl